GACGAACGCUGGCGGCGUGCCUAAUACAUGCAAGUAGAACGCACAGUUUAUACCGUAGCUUGCUACACCAUAAACUGUGAGUUGCGAACGGGUGAGUAACGCGUAGGUAACCUGCCUGGUAGCGGGGGAUAACUAUUGGAAACGAUAGCUAAUACCGCAUAAUAUUGAUUAUUGCAUGAUAAUUGAUUGAAAGAUGCUAUUGCAUCACUACCAGAUGGACCUGCGUUGUAUUAGCUAGUAGGUGAGGUAACGGCUCACCUAGGCGACGAUACAUAGCCGACCUGAGAGGGUGAUCGGCCACACUGGGACUGAGACACGGCCCAGACUCCUACGGGAGGCAGCAGUAGGGAAUCUUCGGCAAUGGACGAAAGUCUGACCGAGCAACGCCGCGUGAGUGAAGAAGGUUGUCGGAUCGUAAAGCUCUGUUGUAAGAGAAGAACGGGUGUGAGAGUGGAAAGUUCACACUGUGACGGUAGCUUACCAGAAAGGGACGGCUAACUACGCG
This 505-nucleotide ribosomal RNA is filed under the name uncultured bacterium. RNAcentral describes it as "partial 16S ribosomal RNA". It matches the Rfam family "Bacterial small subunit ribosomal RNA", at positions 28 to 507 of the family's 1533-position model. The record is from RNAcentral.